AUAACAUUACGAUCAUAUUCAUUUUUAAACCUUUUUUCCACAUUAUUGUUUCUACAGAUACCAUUUACUCAUGCAGAAGGACCAUGCAUAAUCACAUCAGUGAGUUCUCAAAGCCCUUCAACGCUUCAUGUAAAAUGGGAUCAUUAUCUCGGGGCAACAAAUUAUUUUUUGGACAUACGAGUUAUCAACUCGACAGACAUUGCACCUGUUGUGUUGACGUUACCGGGGUCCACCAAAGAAACGGACGUUCACGGUUUACGGCCAGGAGCCCACUACAGCGUGACCCUUAAAGUCUUCCAAUAUUACUUUGUAGUAUGCCACGUUACGCAAGAGGCGUCCACAGGUAAGCAUCCACGUUCAGUAGGACUUGAAAAUAUAAAGAACACAAAUCAAGUUAUUCAAUUCGAGUAUUUUAACGUGUACGUUAGUCGUACUCAACAGCAAUGUUUUGUUGUUAUUAUUCAAAUGAACAGUUACGCACAUACCUAUAAUAAGCAUGCAACACGCCUAGCAGUGUCAUUGAAAUGCCUUUGCACUCGUCUUCUUUCUAGUGCCCGCAACCUCCCAGAUAAUAUACCGGAGGGCACUGACCAGUACAAGCGUUCGGCUAGAGUGGGCACGUGUCCCGACCACGGACACAUACAUCGUCUUGAUGGAAGGACAGGCUGGACAGAAUCACCAAAUGAUUUUGAGAAAUACCAGCGUGGUAUUCACCGGACUGGAGCCCAGGACAGUGUACAACUGCUCCGUAUUCACCGAGAACGAGGCCGGCAGGGGGCUUCGGAGCGCUCUGAAACCCAUCUUGACACGUAAGUGGGGGCUUCGUUGUUGAACUCUAAAGCUGGGGGGGGGGUUUUUUCUCUCUGCAUGGGAUAUUUGUCACAGUCAAAUAUUACAAUUGUUAGCACUUUAUUAAUCUUGUAAGAAAACAAAAAAGAUAAUUAAGUGUAGGCUACACUCUUAGAUAUGGAUAUCAAUAGGUUCCUAUCUCAAUUUGAAUCGAUCAUUGUGUGAUUGAUUGAGGGGAAUGGUACAAUGUGUAGCAACUGAUUCAAACACUCCAUCUGUCCCUGUCUCAGUUGCGCCACCCCCAAACGAUAUCGUCGUGCGGCAGAACGGCCGCCAGAGAGCCCGAGUGUCGUGGCAGCCAGUGGAUCGCGUUCUGCUGUAUCGAGUCACAAUCCGGAACCAAGACCAGCCAAACAGUGAACCAAUGGUGGCAAACGCAACGGCUCCCUAUCUGGACUUUGACACCCUGUUAUGUACCACCUAUGACAUCUCUGUGUCCUCGUUCCACCGAUUCCUGCUGCCCGGAGAGCCCAACGAUGUCUCAUUCACCAGCGACGGUGAGUCAGGGCCAGGGCCAAUAUCAAUAACUGUGCGAUUAGAAUCUAGGUCAGCCUUUCAUUCCG
Molecule: long non-coding RNA, 1412 nt
Filed under: Gadus morhua (Atlantic cod)
Lineage: Eukaryota; Metazoa; Chordata; Actinopteri; Gadiformes; Gadidae
Description: lncRNA (ENSGMOG00000034611.1)
Source: RNAcentral